UGAAGAAUCUUAGAUUUUCUUAAUGUUCUGUAAAACACCUAGCAAUGCAGCAACAGGACGUUGCUGCAAACAAAAGCCGGGGCAUGGACGCCACGUCUUUUGUGGUUGCGGGCGUAGAAAUUAUCUUGGCAAAACAUAUAGAAAAUAUUAGAUUCG
This 156-nucleotide non-coding RNA is filed under the name pig gut metagenome. The record is from RNAcentral.